This is a long non-coding RNA of Chenopodium quinoa (quinoa), 161 nucleotides long. RefSeq lists it as uncharacterized. The transcript has 2 exons. NCBI's taxonomy places the organism in Eukaryota, Viridiplantae, Streptophyta, Magnoliopsida, Caryophyllales, Amaranthaceae. The record is from RefSeq and is a predicted model, not a curated record.
CGACCUGAGUUCGCUAGAUUGCUGCCGCCUGCCGGAAAAGUUCGUCGCCGUUGACCGCUUCCGAGUUCCGACUUCUCCAAGCAGCAAAUUGUCCACAUUUGAAUUAAUAUACAAGAAUACAAGUGAAAGAUGGUUGAUGAUAGGAGUAGUCCUCCCCGUAA